Molecule: long non-coding RNA, 336 nt
Organism: Arabidopsis thaliana (thale cress)
Lineage: Eukaryota; Viridiplantae; Streptophyta; Magnoliopsida; Brassicales; Brassicaceae
Product: other RNA
Exons: 2
Source: RefSeq
GCUCCAGUACUGUGGUUCUCCAACAGAAACCUAAAUCCAUGAGUCAUGAAGGCUCCUAGGUAAAAAGUUUAAGCUCAAGCGGAAUCAACGCCAUGGCUAGGGCUUACCUCCACUGACAAAGGCAUCAUAUGGCUUCUCUAACAUGUGUCCGCAAAAAGAAAUCCACCAUUAUCUGAUCUCACUUACCUCACCAUCACCGUGGAAAACUCUCGUCUCCAUUGACGUCGAUCUGCUUCUCCCCCUUCCUCCUUUGCUUUCACGGCUCGGGUCUGGUUGCUUCUUAUUUUGGACCCAUCACGAUCUUCUCUCUUUUCUCUUCUCUCUCACGUAGCUUAU